This 253-nucleotide ribosomal RNA is filed under the name uncultured bacterium. RNAcentral's name for it is "partial 16S ribosomal RNA". It matches the Rfam family "Bacterial small subunit ribosomal RNA", at positions 524 to 776 of the family's 1533-position model. The record is from RNAcentral.
UACGUAGGGUGCAGGCGUUAAUCGGAAUUACUGGGCGUAAAGCGUGCGCAGGCGGUUUCUUAAGUCAGAUGUGAAAGCCCCGGGCUUAACCUGGGAACUGCGUUUGAAACUGGGAGACUUGAGUGUGGCAGAGGGGGGUGGAAUUCCACGUGUAGCAGUGAAAUGCGUAGAUAUGUGGAGGAACACCGGUGGCGAAGGCGGGUCUCUGGGCCGAUACUGACGCUGAGGAGCGAAAGCGUGGGGAGCAAACAGG